Ribosomal RNA from Oncorhynchus mykiss (rainbow trout), 118 nucleotides. Lineage: Eukaryota; Metazoa; Chordata; Actinopteri; Salmoniformes; Salmonidae. The record is from Ensembl.
GCUUACGGCCACACCGGCCUGAUACGCCUGAUCUCGUCCGAUCUCGGAAGCUAAGCAGGGUCGGGCCUGGUUAGUACUUGGAUGGGAGACCGCCUGGGAAUACCAGGUGCUGUAAGCU